Mesocricetus auratus (golden hamster) is the source of this 70-nucleotide non-coding RNA. NCBI's taxonomy places the organism in Eukaryota, Metazoa, Chordata, Mammalia, Rodentia, Cricetidae. The record is from Ensembl.
ACUUUUAUAGGAUAGUAGUAAUCCGUUGGUCUUAGGAAUCAAAAACUUGGUGCAACUCCAAAUGAAAGUA